GCUCAUGUUAUCGUGGUUCUUUCACUGUUGUCGUGCAGUCCGUUGAGGUCAGUCUUUGUUCGUCGAGGUCCGGCGCGUCGAGUUUGUUCGUGGAAGUCGAUGUUGAGGUUCGGUCCAUGGCUCUAUGCGUUUCUGUUUAUUCAGAGUCAAAAUGGAGAACCCAGAAAACAAGGCGAAAUCUGAAAACAAGGGGAAGUCUGAAGAGAAGUGGAAAUCUGAAAACAAGCCAAGCACUCAGUCUCAAAAGCAUGUUGCAGCCGGUGAUAAGGACACAGAUCCAACGCAAUAUUUGAAAAUAGGCAGAAACCAAUUGAGGUUGAGAAGGCAACCGGGAAGAAUCCUUACCCACACAAAUUCGAACACAAAGUUGAAUUGUUGUAUAUCCCUAAUUAUGUGAAGUUGAAUGGGGCUCUAUUGAAUUAUUCUAGUGAGAAGUUGAAUGGGGCUGCAUUGAAUUAUUCUACUUAUGAUAAAGAAUUAUAUUCAUUUGGUAAGGGCUUUUGCUACAUGGCAGCAUUAUUUGUGGCCAAAGGAAUUUGUGAUAAAAACUGACCAUGAGUCUUUAAGAUACUUGAAAAGCCAAGGUAAAUUGAGUAGAAGACAUGCCAAAUGAGUUGAAUUUCAUUGAGACAUUCCCUUAUGUGAUUAGCUACAAGCAAGGUAAAGACAAUAUAGUUGAUGAUGCGCUUUCAAGAAGCAAUACUUUGAAAAUAGGCAGAAACCACUUGAGGUUGAGAAGGCAACCGGGAAGAAUCCUUACCCACACAAAUUCGAGCACAAAGUUGAAUUGUUGUCUAUCCCUGAUUAUGUGAAGUUGAAUGGGGCUGCAUUGAAUUAUUCUAGUGAGAAGUUGAAUGGGUCUGCAUUGAAUUAUUCUACUUAUGAUAAAGAAUUAUAUUCAUUUGGUAAGGGCUCUUGCUACAUGGCAGCAUUAUUUGUGGCCAAAGAAAUUUGUGAUAAAAACUGACCAUGAGUCUUUAAGAUACUUGAAAAGCCAAGGUAAAUUGAGUAGAAGACAUGCCAAAAGAGAUGAAUUCAUUGAGACAUUCCCUUAUGUGAUUAGCUACAAGCAAGGUAAAGACAAUAUAGUUGCUGAUGCGCUUUCAAGAAGUUACCUCCGGCGCUGUCAACUAGGGUUUAAUUCUUCUCGUCGGAGUCAAAAUGGAGAACCCAGAAAACAAGGCAAAAUCUUAAAACAAGGAGAAGUCUGAAAAGAAGGGGAAAUCUGAAAACAAGUCAAGCACUCAGUCUCAAAAGCAUGCUGCAGCCGGUGAUGAGGACACAGAUCCAACGCAAUACUUUGAAAAUAGGCAGAAACCACUUGUGGCUGAGAAGGCAACAGGGAAGAAUCCUUACCCACACAAAUUCGAACACAAAGUUGAAUUGUUGUAUAUCCCUAAUUAUGUGAAGUUGAAUGGGGCUCUAUUGAAUUAUUCUAGUGAGAAGUUGAAUGGGGCUGCAUUGAAUUAUUCUACUUAUGAUAAAGAAUUAUAUUCAUUUGGUAAGGGCUCUUGCUACAUGGCAGCAUUAUUUUUGGCCAAAGGAAUUUGUGAUAAAAACUGACCAUGAGUCUUUAAGAUACUUGAAAAGCCAAGGUAAAUUGAGUUGAAGACAUGCCAAAUGAGUUGAAUUUUAUUGAGACAUUCCCUUAUGUGAUUAGCUACAAGCAAGGUAAAGACAAUAUAGUUGAUGAUGCGCUUUCAAGAAGUUACCUCUGGCGCUGUCAACUCGGGUUUAAUUCUUCUCGUCGGAGUCAAAAUGGAGAACCAAGAAAACAAGGCGAAAUCUAAAAACAAGGGGAAGUCCGAAAAGAAGGGAAAUCUGAAAACAAGCCAAGCACUCAGUCUCAAAAGCAUGCUGCAGCCGGUGAUGAGGACACGGAUCUAACGUUACCUCCGGCGCUGUCAACUCGGGUUUAAUUCUUCUCGUCGGAGUCAAAAUGGAGAACCAAGAAAACAAGGCGAAAUCUAAAAACAAGGGGAAGUCUGAAAAGAAGGGGAAAUCUGAAAACAAGCCAAGCACUCAGUCUCAAAAGCAUGUUGCAGCCGGUGAUAAGGACACGGAUCCAACGCAAUACUUUGAAAAUAGGCAGAAACCACUUGAGGCUAAGAAGGCAACCGAGAAGAAUCCUUACCCACACAAAUUCGAACACAAAGUUGAAUUGUUGUCUAUCCCUGAUUAUGUGAAGUUGAAUGGGGCUGCAUUGAAUUAUUCUAGUGAGAAGUUGAAUAGGGUUGCAUUGAAUUAUUCUACUAAUGAUAAGGAAUUAUAUUUAUUUGGUAAUGGCUCUUGCUACAUGGCAGCAUUAUUUGUGGCCAAAGGAAUUUGUGAUAAAAACUGACCAUGAGUCUUUAAGAUACUUGAAAAGCCAAUGUAAAUUGAGUAGAAGACAUGCUAAAUGAGUUGAAUUCAUUGAGACAUUCCCUUAUAUGAUUAGCUACAAGCAAGGUAAAGACAAUAUAGUUGAUGAUGCGCUUUCAAGAAGGUACGCUCUUAUUUCUACCCUUACUUCUAAAUUGAAGGGAUUUGAUCAUAUUAAGGAUUUAUAUGUUGAUGAUUCUGAUUUUGAUGUAGCAUUUUCAGCAUGUUUAAAUGGGCCUUUUGAGAAGUAUAAUCUGAAAGAUGGGUUUUUUUAAAGAGAAUAAAUUUUGUGUCCCUAAUUGUUCUUUCCGAGAAGUUUUUGUGAGGGAAGAACAUUGUGGGGGGCUUAUGGAACACUUUGGUGUGCCUAAAACACUUGACAUCUUUGCUGAAAAUUUAUUUUGGCUUAAUUUGAGAAAAGAUAUAGAAAGAUUUUGUGCUCAAUGACUUUAAUGCAAACAAGCUAAAUCUAAAGUGUUGCCACAUGGUUUAUACACGCCAUUAUCUGUGCCUAUUUCACCUUGUAUUGAUAUUUUUAUGGACUUUUUGAUAGGACUACCUAGAACAAGGUAUGGUAAGGAUAACAUCUUUGUUGUGGUAGAUAGGUUCUCAAAAAUGGCUCGUUAUAUUCCUAGUUUAAAGACUAAUGAUGCUUCUUAUGUUGCUAAUUUAUUUGUUAGAGAAGUUGUUAAAUUGCAUGGUAUACUCGAACUAUUGUUAAUGAUAGGGAUGCUAAGUUUCUAAGCCACUUUUGGCGUGUGCUUAGGAGAAAAUUGGGAACAAAAUUGGUGUUUUCUACUUCAUGUCAUCUGCAACCUGAUGGGCAACCUGAGGUAGUAAAUAGAACCUUAGGAAAUAUGGUAAGAGUUUUUUUAAAAGGAAAAUUAACUUCUUGGGAGGAUCACUUGCCUAUGAUAGAAUUUGCUUACAAUCGAACUGUUCAUUCGUCCAUUGGUUAUUCUCCUUUUGAAGUUGUUUAUGGCUUUAACUUCUUCAAACCCCUUUUCUUAUUGCCUUUUCCUACUAAUGAGAUGGUUAAUCUUAAUGAAAAAUAGAUAGCUGAUUUGAUGAAGGAUAUUCAUGAGCAUACGAGACUUGCCAUUGAAAUAAGGAAUAAGCAAAUAGCUUUAUGAAGAAAUAAAGGUCAAAAACCAGUUAUCUUCGAGCCCGGUGAUUUGGUUUGGGUUCAUAUGAGGAAGGAGAGAUUUUAUUCAAAAAGAAAGACAAAAUUAUAGCCUAGAGGAGAUGUGCCAUUUAAAGUACUUGAAUGGAUUGGAGAUAAUGCUUACAAAUUGGACCUUCCAGGUGAGUUUCAAGUAAGUGCUACUUUCAAUGUUGCUGACUUAUCCUUGUUUGAUGUAGGUUCAAAUUCGAGGACAAAUUCUUUUUAAGAGGAAGGGAAUGAUAGCUCCACGGACAAGGAUAAAGCUUUAGAAGCACCAAGAAAGCCAUUCACAAGGUCUCAAGCUAAGGAGAAGCAAGACAAGAUUGUUGGGCUUUAAUGGGAGAUCAAGAAGGCGCUAAUGCACUACAACAAAAAGAACUUUUAGUGAUAAUUAAUUAGCGGCAAUAAGCUAAUGGCCAGUAAAUAAUUUCAAAAACCCGAAUACUAGUGGCAAUUGCGAAUUAGCCGCUAUUGGUUACCUUUUUACUGGCGAUAAAUAUGAAUAA
This is a non-coding RNA of Nicotiana tabacum (common tobacco), 4032 nucleotides long. NCBI's taxonomy places the organism in Eukaryota, Viridiplantae, Streptophyta, Magnoliopsida, Solanales, Solanaceae. The record is from RefSeq and is a predicted model, not a curated record.